RNAcentral lists this long non-coding RNA (1770 nucleotides) under Homo sapiens (human). Its description in RNAcentral is "HSALNT0276040". The record is from RNAcentral. Lineage: Eukaryota; Metazoa; Chordata; Mammalia; Primates; Hominidae.
CACUCACGUGUACCAGUAGUUCCUUUUUAUUGCCGAGUAUUGCACUGGACGGUGUGCCACAAUUUAUCCAUUCAUCUGUUGAUGGAUGUUUGAGUUGUUUCCAGUUUUUGGCUAUUACAAAUAAAGCUGCUAUGAAAAUUCAUGUAUAAGUUUUUGCAUGGACAUAUAUUUCCUUUUCUCUUGGGUAAAUACCUAGGAAUGGAAUGUGGGGAUCAUAAGGUAGAUGUAUUUUUAAUGUCUUAAGAAACUGUCAAACUGUUUUCCAAAGUGGUGGUGCAGUUUUACAUCCCCAUCAGCAGUGUUUGGGAGUUCUUGUUGCUUUACAUAUUCAACAGCACAUAGCAUGGUGAGUUUUUUAAACAUUAGCCAUUCUUCUGGGUGUGUAGCAAUAUCUCUCUGGCUUUAACUUGGGCAUUUCCCUAAUGACUAAUGAUGUUGAACAUGUUUUAAUGUGCAUGUUUGCCAUCUGUAUCUUCUCAAGUCUGUUCAAAUUUUUUCCCCAUGUCUUAUUAUUGAGCUUUGCAAAUUCUUUAUUUUUUGAGACAGAGUUUUGCUCUUGUUGCCCAGGCUGGAGUGCAAUGGCACGAUCUCGGCUCACCGCAACCUCCGCCUCCUGGGUUCAAGCGAUUCUCCUGCCUCAGCCUUCCUGAGUAGCUGGGGUUACAGAGCUCUCAAUCCAGCAGCUCAGAGUAAACCCUCCUGAUGUGAAACCAAAAGUUUCUCCAAGAGAACCUGUCCAGCCUGGAGCAAAGUUCUAGAAGUAUGGACACUGGGGAUUUCCCCAAAGAAGCUCAAUGAGAUCACCUUACAAUCACAUAUUCUUUUUAAUACUCCACUCUUAAAUAUAAGCAAGAUUACCAACGAUUGCCAGGCAGCUAAAGAAAGUCUGUAACAUGAAAGAUUAAAUUGAAGAACAGAAAGCAGAAAGACAUAUGCAGGGAGAUGAAAGCUUCUACAGAGCAUAUUAAUAUCCUCAAAGAUGUUGCAACAAGGAACAAGGUACUGUCCCUAUAUAUCUACGUAUAUAAAGGAACAAUCAGAGAAUCAACUUGGAGUAAUCCUCCAUAAAUUAUGAUCAAAAGAAAAGAAAAUUGGGGUUGGGGCACACAGGGAGGAGAGGUAAUUCUGGGUCCACCAUCUGAGUAACAGAAAUUCCAGAAAGAAAAACCACAGACAGCCGGGCCUGGUGGCUCACGCCUGUAAUCCCAGCACUUUGGGAGGCCAAGGCAGGUGGAUCACCCGAGGUCACGAGUUUGAGACCAGCCUGACCAACAUGGUGAAAAUCUGCCUCUACUAAAAAUACAAAAAAUUAGCCGGGUGUUGGGGCAGGUGCCUGUAAUCCCAGUUACUUGGGAGGCUGAGGCAGGAGAAUUGCUUGAACACCGGAGGCAAAGGUUGCAGUGAGCCGAGAUGGCACCAUUUCACUCCAGCCUGGGCAACAAGCGUGAAACUCAGUCUUUAAAAAAAAAAAGAAAAAGAAAAACCACAGACAACCUAAGGAAGAAAAUCACUGAGAAUGAAUUCAAGAAAGUUUCCCAGAAAUUAAGGACAAGAGUUCACUCGGAAAGGGGCCUGGCAUGGAAACAGACCUUCGCCAAGGCAGGUAUUAAUACGUCAUUCUGAAAUUUUGGAACACUGAUAACAGAAGGGAAAAAAAAAAAAGUCAUAUAAAAAGGAUCUGGACUCUGGCCGGGUGCGGUGGCUCACGCCUGUAAUCCCAGCACUUUGGGAGGCCGAGGUGGGUGGAUCACACAGUCAGGAGAUCGAGAC